GACGAACGCUGGCGGCGUGCUUAACACAUGCAAGUCGAACGGAAAGGCCCCGCUUUUGUGGGGUGCUCGAGUGGCGAACGGGUGAGUAACACGUGAGUAACCUGCCCUUGACUUUGGGAUAACUUCAGGAAACUGGGGCUAAUACCGGAUAGGAGCUCCUGCUGCAUGGUGGGGGUUGGAAAGUUUCGGCUGUUGGGGAUGGACUCGCGGCUUAUCAGCUUGUUGGUGGGGUAGUGGCUUACCAAGGCUUUGACGGGUAGCCGGCCUGAGAGGGUGACCGGCCACAUUGGGACUGAGAUACGGCCCAGACUCCUACGGGAGGCAGCAGUGGGGAAUAUUGCACAAUGGGCGGAAGCCUGAUGCAGCAACGCCGCGUGCGGGAUGACGGCCUUCGGGUUGUAAACCGCUUUCGCCUGUGACGAAGCGUGAGUGACGGUAAUGGGUAAAGAAGCACCGGCUAACUACGUG
This 468-nucleotide ribosomal RNA is filed under the name uncultured bacterium. Its description in RNAcentral is "partial 16S ribosomal RNA". It matches the Rfam family "Bacterial small subunit ribosomal RNA", at positions 28 to 507 of the family's 1533-position model. The record is from RNAcentral.